RNAcentral lists this ribosomal RNA (431 nucleotides) under uncultured bacterium. Its description in RNAcentral is "partial 16S ribosomal RNA". It matches the Rfam family "Bacterial small subunit ribosomal RNA", at positions 338 to 795 of the family's 1533-position model. The record is from RNAcentral.
CCUACGGGAGGCAGCAGUGGGGAAUCUUGCACAAUGGAGGAAACUCUGAUGCAGCGACGCCGCGUGAGCGAUGAAGCCCUUCGGGGUGUAAAGCUCUUUCGACAGGGACGCGGUACCUGGAGAAGCAGCUGCGGCUAACUACGUGCCAGCAGCCGCGGUAAUACGUAGGCAGCAAGCGUUGUUCGGAGUUACUGGGCGUAAAGGGUGUGUAGGCGGCCUUCUAAGUUCGGUGUGAAAUCUCCCGGCUUAACCGGGAGGGUGCGCCGGAAACUGGCAGGCUAGAGUGUGGGAGGGGAAAGUGGAAUUCCUGGUGUAGCGGUGAAAUGCGUAGAUAUCAGGAGGAACACCUGUGGUGUAGACGGCUUUCUGGACAUACUGACGCUGAGACACGAAAGCGUGGGUAGCAAACAGGAUUAGAUACCCUUGUAGUC